This is a ribosomal RNA of 66 nucleotides. It matches the Rfam family "Bacterial small subunit ribosomal RNA", at positions 1 to 63 of the family's 1533-position model.
UUUUUAAUUGAGAGUUUGAUCCUGGCUCAGGAUGAACGCUGGCGGCGUGCUUAACACAUGCAAGUC